GAAUUCGCCCUUAGAGUUUGAUCCUGGCUCAGGACGAACGCUGGCGGCGUGCCUAACACAUGCAAGUCGAACGGAACUGCAAGGAACAAGACUUCGGUCAAGUGAAUUGUACGUUUAGUGGCGGACGGGUGAGUAACGCGUGAGCAAUCUGCCUUUCAGAGGGGGAUAACAUUCUGAAAAGAAUGCUAAUACCGCAUAAUGUGCACAGUUGGCAUCGACAGUGCACCAAAGGAGCAAUCCGCUGAAAGAUGAGCUCGCGUCCGAUUAGAUAGUUGGCGGGGUAACGGCCCACCAAGUCGACGAUCGGUAGCCGGACUGAGAGGUUGAACGGCCACAUUGGGACUGAGACACGGCCCAGACUCCUACGGGAGGCAGCAGUGGGGAAUAUUGCACAAUGGGCGAAAGCCUGAUGCAGCAACGCCGCGUGAGGGAAGACGGUCUUCGGAUUGUAAACCUUUGUCCUUGGUGACGAAAAAAAUGACGGUAGCCGAGGAGGAAGCCACGGCUAACUACGUGCCAGCAGCCGCGGUAAUACGUAGGUGGCAAGCGUUGUCCGGAAUUACUGGGUGUAAAGGGAGCGCAGGCGGGGGAGCAAAGUCAGCUGUGAAAUAUACGGGCUUAACUCGUAGACUGCAGUUGAAACUGUUCUUUCUUGAGUGAAGUAGAGGUAGGCGGAAUUCCGAGUGUAGCGGUGAAAUGCGUAGAGAUUCGGAGGAACACCAGUGGCGAAGGCGGCCUACUGGGCUUUAACUGACGCUGAGGCUCGAAAGUGUGGGGAGCAAACAGGAUUAGAUACCCUGGUAGUCCACACUGUAAACGAUGAUUGCUAGGUGUGGGGGGUCUGACCCCUUCCGUGCCGCAGUUAACGCAAUAAGCAAUCCACCUGGGAAGUACGACCGCAAGGUUGAAACUCAAAGGAAUUGACGGGGGCCCGCACAAGCAGUGGAUUAUGUGGUUUAAUUCGAAGCAACGCGAAGAACCUUACCAGGUCUUGACAUCGAGUGACGAGUUCAGAGAUGAGCUUUUCCUUCGGGACACGAAGACAGGUGGUGCAUGGUUGUCGUCAGCUCGUGUCGUGAGAUGUUGGGUUAAGUCCCGCAACGAGCGCAACCCCUGCCAUUAGUUGCUACGCAAGAGCACUCUAAUGGGACCGCUACCGACAAGGUGGAGGAAGGUGGGGACGACGUCAAAUCAUCAUGCCCCUUAUGACCUGGGCUACACACGUAAUACAAUGGCCGUUAACAGAGGGAAGCAAAGCCGCGAGGUAGAGCAAAACCCUAAAAACGGUCUCAGUUCGGAUUGCAGGCUGCAACUCGCCUGUAUGAAGUCGGAAUUGCUAGUAAUCGCGGAUCAGCAUGCCGCGGUGAAUACGUUCCCGGGCCUUGCACUCACCGCCCGUCA
Molecule: ribosomal RNA, 1401 nt
Filed under: uncultured bacterium
Lineage: Bacteria
Description: bacterial SSU rRNA
Rfam family: Bacterial small subunit ribosomal RNA
Source: RNAcentral